GCGCAGGCGGUUUCUUAAGUCUGAUGUGAAAGCCCCCGGCUCAACCGGGGAGGGUCAUUGGAAACUGGGAGACUUGAGUGCAGAAGAGGAGAGUGGAAUUCCAUGUGUAGCGGUGAAAUGCGUAGAUAUAUGGAGGAACACCAGUGGCGAAGGCGGCUCUCUGGUCUGUAACUGACGCUGAGGCUCGAAAGCGUGGGGAGCGAACAGGAUUAGAUACCCUGGUAGUCCACGCCGUAAACGAUGAGUGCUAAGUGUUGGAGGGUUUCCGCCCUUCAGUGCUGCAGCAAACGCAUUAAGCACUCCGCCUGGGGAGUACGACCGCAAGGUUGAAACUCAAAGGAAUUGACGGGGGCCCGCACAAGCGGUGGAGCAUGUGGUUUAAUUCGAAGCAACGCGAAGAACCUUACCAGGUCUUGACAUCCUUUGACCACUCUAGAGAUAGAGCUUCCCCUUCGGGGGCAAAGUGACAGGUGGUGCAUGGUUGUCGUCAGCUCGUGUCGUGAGAUGUUGGGUUAAGUCCCGCAACGAGCGCAACCCUUAUUGUUAGUUGCCAUCAUUUAGUUGGGCACUCUAGCGAGACUGCCGGUGACAAACCGGAGGAAGGUGGGGAUGACGUCAAAUCAUCAUGCCCCUUAUGACCUGGGCUACACACGUGCUACAAUGGGAAGUACAACGAGUUGCGAAGUCGCGAGGCUAAGCUAAUCUCUUAAAGCUUCUCUCAGUUCGGAUUGUAGGCUGCAACUCGCCUACAUGAAGCCGGAAUCGCUAGUAAUCGCGGAUCAGCACGCCGCGGUGAAUACGUUCCCGGGCCUUGUACACACCGCCCGUCACACCACGAGAGUUUGUAACACCCGAAGUCGGUGAGGUAACCUUUUUGGAGCCAGCCGCCUAAGGUGGGAUAGAUGAUUGGGGUGAAGUCGUAACAAGGUAGCCGUAUCGG
RNAcentral lists this ribosomal RNA (940 nucleotides) under Listeria monocytogenes. RNAcentral describes it as "bacterial SSU rRNA". It matches the Rfam family "Bacterial small subunit ribosomal RNA", at positions 569 to 1508 of the family's 1533-position model. The record is from RNAcentral. Lineage: Bacteria; Bacillati; Bacillota; Bacilli; Caryophanales; Listeriaceae.